Non-coding RNA from Tetranychus urticae (two-spotted spider mite), 2319 nucleotides. The record is from RefSeq and is a predicted model, not a curated record. NCBI's taxonomy places the organism in Eukaryota, Metazoa, Arthropoda, Arachnida, Trombidiformes, Tetranychidae.
GAGUGUUAUUAUUGAAAAUCAUGAAUUUCGCUGCCCUACGAAUAGUGUAAAUAAGCUAUUUCUAGCGAGGUGCAUUUUCUCAAUGGUGAUUGUAAAUUGUUGUGCAUUUAUUUUACGUUAAAUGGGUUAUUUUAUUGUAGGUGAGAAUUGUUGAUUUGAUUACUUAAUAAUAAUAUACUAAAGACAAAACAAGUCACCACAUAAUGAUUACCUUGUCUGUUAUAUGUUAACAGUAAACUUUGGUUAACAGUUAUUCAUAAUGACUACUUUUAGGCUUACCAAACUCAUCGGCUGAUUAUAAUGCAUUUAUCAUUUCCAUAAUCUCUGUAUCCAAAUGGUGAUUACUGGAUGAUAUCUAGAUGGUGAUGAUGAUGAUGAUAGACAUAAUUGGAUUAUUAUAGCUGUUAUACAUUUAUACCGUCUUUAACCAUGGUCAUAUUGGUAUCAACUUACAUGUGACACUUAAAGGACGCCGAACAAGGAGAAGAAAGAUGCUGAAGAGGUUAACCAGGGAUAAAUAAUUUAUGUAUUAUAUAAACAAUCUUGAACUGAGCUCGAGGGUUUUUCAUUUGGAUUUACACUUCGUUUUUGAGGUGGUUUUUCACUGAUAAUAGUGACUAUAUAAAUAUAACGACUACUCUUGAGGGAAUUCCUUUUUAUGUUGAUACAACACUUUGUUGUUGUGAUACAAUUGGUCUUAAGAAAAUUAAUGUACAAGGAGAUUGAGAAUAGGACAAGAUGAUUGUUAUAAACGUAUCAGUAUCACCUUCAUAUCAUUCGAUAUCAUUGUAAAUGUUGUUUCAAUUGUUUGAUGAAGUACAAGUUGAGAGGAAAGAAAUUUAUUAAACAUUUCAGCAUAUAAUUGAUUUGUGUUUGGGUUUAUUUGCUGUUCAUUGAUUGUUAACUAAUCAAAUUAACACUCAAUUUUAUAAAUUAUUUCUAUUUUUGCAAUCUUUCAUAUUUACAUAAUUUUAAAUUCUAAAUUUCAUUUGCCAUUUCAGUGAGUGGUCGAAGUAUUCAAAUGCAUCUGAGAUGAAGUCACUAAACCAUUUACUAAUAGCUCCAUGAUUGAGAUGGUCGGAUUGAAUGGAAUCUAGGAUAAGAUUAAUGUCUGGUUGUGAUCAAAGUUGAUUCAAUCACAACUGAAUGUGAUAUUAUGAGACUGGAUCCAAACAUAUUGAUAUUCAAGAGGAAAGCAAAACAACGACACAAUAUUAACGCAGGGCAAUUUUUCCCUUUCCUAUGUCAAUUGGUCUUUGCUCACUUGACCUUAACCCUGUUUCAUUGACUUGAUAAGUUAAAGAACCUGCCAAGAAGAAGAUAAUGAUGAUAAGUUGGCGAUACCGGGUUAGAGGAAUGGAUAUUAAAGGAAAAACGAUGCAGAAGAGAUCGCAAGCUAACAAAGUGACAGUUAUUUUUCAGAUCAUCUUUAUCAUUUGUUACAAAAAGUACAAAAAUCAGGAGAGAGAGAGAGAGAGAAAUACCAAGAAAAAAGUGAUGAUUAUGGCGAGGGAAGACGAGAAGAAAUAUCUGAGUAACUCCCCUUUUCAAUCGGUCAAUGUCUUUCUUUCCUCAAACUGGACUACAUACAAAAGUCCAUCCUCACAAUUCAUCAUCAUCUUGUUGUUGCAGUUUCUGGACAAAAGGUUGAAUCUAACUUUACCCUACUCUACUCACUCAGACCCAUUUACUCACACUAGUGGGAUGUGAAUAUACCUUUCAAAGUGAAAUAUUCACCUCCACUCAGGGGGUAACUCAAGAUCCCAGGGCAACAACCAAGGUCACACAAUACAAGACAAUGUUAAUAAUAAUACAACAUACUAAAGCCCUGAGAUGUUGAGACAGCGAAAACAUGAAAUAAAUACAAAACUCCUGAAUAAAUGUAUUUAUACAUGUACAUCUAUCUAUCUUUGUACAUCUCUACACCUCCCACUUCAUCUUUUUUUACCUUUACUGAAAGAUCAUCUAUCUAUCUUUCCAUCUCUUCUCUUUCUCAUUCACCAUCUCUUGCUAAUUUUGUUGUUUGCAGUUUAAAUAUAAUCAACAUUAACCCAUUGAGGACAAAAGGCUAAGCACAGGAAAUUUUUCACUAAGAGAUUUUGUCAGUUAACAAAAUGCCCAAUUAUUAAUGUCAAUGCAAGUUUAUGCAAAUGCUAAUUAUCUGUAUGAUCAAUAAGGUACAUAACUUGCUCUAUGAGUUACUCCAAAUGAAUGAAAAUGUGAAACUUGAGCUGUUUCUCCAACUCUUAAUUUAUUCAAAGACAUUAUAUUGCACUGUCAAUCGAUUAAUGUUUUUUCAGCCAAUUUUGAUUGUCACUU